Molecule: long non-coding RNA, 683 nt
Organism: Helicoverpa zea (corn earworm)
Lineage: Eukaryota; Metazoa; Arthropoda; Insecta; Lepidoptera; Noctuidae
Exons: 2
Source: RefSeq, a predicted model, not a curated record
CGUAAAGUGUGGUGCAAGUAAGCACAAAAAUCAAGCUGGAUUGUCUUUACACAGACACCCAAAGAAGGUCCCCAGGAGUCGUUGGUUUUACAUGAAAUUACUAACAUCAGAAAGCAUAAGGAUACUGCCACAUCAACUGAUGUGUUCCCAUUGCCAUUAUCCCAUGAAAAUAUAAAACCAAAGGAGUUUGUUUCAGCCGAAAGAAGAAGGAAGAAGCAGACUGAACGUUUGUGUUUCAUUAUUAAUUGGGGAGGAAGACAUCAAUAGCCUCAUUUAUGUAAAAUCAAGAGGAAGGCUGAAAUAUGCCUCUUGUAGCGUCAUAGAAAUCAUUAAAAAGACAGAGAAACUCGUUGAAACUCAUUUAGAUUGUAAAAUUAAAUCUGAAGUGUAUUAUUUAUACAUUUUUAAAUUUAUGUGUGAAUUUUAUGAAAUUAAUACUUUUUUUGACUGUGAUCCCAAUCACAAUACUGACCAUAAGUUACUUUUAAAUAAGUCAAUAAUUAAAACAUUUUUAAAUAUAAGAUUAGAUACUGCGGUUGUAGAAGAACUGAAAAACUGUCUCAUAGACAGUUUUUUAAUAAGCUUAUAAAUAUUGUUUAGAAAUGAAUAACUUUGUUCAAUGUCUCUUUUAAUUUUACCCACCAGCUUGUACACAUUAUGGUAUGCAGUAAAGUUAUUGAGUA